GCCGGGAGGAGGGCGAGGGAAGGAGAGGAGGAAGGGUAGUAGUUCAGUCUUGGCUGGGCCGUGGAAGGGGUGGUUGUUGCUCCGUGUCGUCACAACUUUGGCUCCAUUUAUCCCGAACGGACUAGAAAAACAACAACAACAACAACAACAACAACAACAACAAUAGUAAUAAAUUAAAAAAACACCCAACAAAACGAACCUUGAGCGAAAUCAACCAAACGAACCGGAACGACAUGGCAACGGAACCGAACCAGUGAAGCGAACCAGUGAAGCGAACCAACGAACCAAC
This is a long non-coding RNA of Portunus trituberculatus (swimming crab), 289 nucleotides long. RefSeq lists it as uncharacterized. NCBI's taxonomy places the organism in Eukaryota, Metazoa, Arthropoda, Malacostraca, Decapoda, Portunidae. The record is from RefSeq and is a predicted model, not a curated record. The transcript is spliced from 2 exons.